UACGGAGGAUGCGAGCGUUAUCCGGAUUUAUUGGGUUUAAAGGGUGCGUAGGCGGCGAGUUAAGUCAGCGGUAAAAGCCCGGGGCUCAACCCCGGCCCGCCGUUGAAACUGGCUGGCUUGAGUUGGGGAAAGGCAGGCGGAAUGCGCGGUGUAGCGGUGAAAUGCAUAGAUAUCGCGCGGAACCCCGAUUGCGAAGGCAGCCUGCCGGCCCCACACUGACGCUGAGGCACGAAAGCGUGGGUAUCGAACAGG
RNAcentral lists this ribosomal RNA (252 nucleotides) under uncultured bacterium. RNAcentral describes it as "partial 16S ribosomal RNA". It matches the Rfam family "Bacterial small subunit ribosomal RNA", at positions 524 to 776 of the family's 1533-position model. The record is from RNAcentral.